RNAcentral lists this ribosomal RNA (320 nucleotides) under uncultured eukaryote. RNAcentral's name for it is "partial 18S ribosomal RNA". It matches the Rfam family "Eukaryotic small subunit ribosomal RNA", at positions 1470 to 1796 of the family's 1831-position model. The record is from RNAcentral.
CCCUUAGAUGUUCUGGGCCGCACGCGCGCUACACUGAUUCAUGCAACAAGUUUUGUCCUUGGCUGAUAGGCCUGGGUAAUCUUUGAACGUGAAUCGUGAUGGGGAUAGAUGAUUGCAAUUAUUCAUCUUCAACGAGGAAUUCCUAGUAAACGCAAGUCAUCAGCUUGCAUUGAUUACGUCCCCGCCCUUUGUACACACCGCCCGUCGCACCUACCGAUUGAAUGGUCCGGUGAAAUCUCGGGACGGCGGCUUGGUCGCUUGCGUCCGACUGCUGAAACUUGAUUAAACCAUAUCAUUUAGAGGAAGGUGAAGUCGUAACA